CAGUCGCCGCGGUCAUACGUAGGACCCAAGCGUUAUCCGGAGUGACUGGGCGUAAAGAGUUGCGUAGGUGGUUUGUUAAGCGAAUAGUGAAAUCUGGCGGCUCAACCGUACAGACUAUUAUUCGAACUGGCAAACUCGAGAAUGGUAGAGGUAACUGGAAUUUCUGAAGUAGGGGUAAUAUCCGUAGAUAUCAGAAGGAACACCAAUGGCGUAGGCAGGUUACUGGACCAUUUCUGACACUGAGGCACGAAAGCGUGGGGAGCGAACCGGAUUAGAUACCCCCGUAGUCCCUGUCUCUUAU
Molecule: ribosomal RNA, 301 nt
Filed under: uncultured bacterium
Lineage: Bacteria
Description: partial 16S ribosomal RNA
Rfam family: Bacterial small subunit ribosomal RNA
Source: RNAcentral